ACGAAAUGAGCACACUCUGAUGG
RNAcentral lists this non-coding RNA (23 nucleotides) under Arabidopsis thaliana (thale cress). The record is from RNAcentral. Lineage: Eukaryota; Viridiplantae; Streptophyta; Magnoliopsida; Brassicales; Brassicaceae.